AAUACCCUUCCUUCUUGUGAUGUCUUGCUGGUCAUCUGAGAUAUCAUAGGCCAACCCUUUCCAUCUGUCCUUAUCUGUCUGCUUGUUCUUUUCCUCAUCU
Arachis ipaensis is the source of this 100-nucleotide non-coding RNA. The record is from RefSeq and is a predicted model, not a curated record. Lineage: Eukaryota; Viridiplantae; Streptophyta; Magnoliopsida; Fabales; Fabaceae.